This 753-nucleotide long non-coding RNA is filed under the name Vigna radiata. Its description in RNAcentral is "long non-coding RNA (VRAD_LNC003657)". The record is from RNAcentral. Lineage: Eukaryota; Viridiplantae; Streptophyta; Magnoliopsida; Fabales; Fabaceae.
CCAAAGUUGCACUUGCCUUACCUUUCCUUUUUGAUUGAAUCACAAGUUGUAAUAGUUCAUUUGUUGUUUUUGAUUCGUAAAGGGCCAUUUCAAGCAAGUGAAGUGGAAGAGCUCAUAAGUGUUCUUCCCUCAUUUGCUAACUUGACUUAAAGUCUCAUAACCUAAAAAUUGGUAGACGGUGAGUGUGUCUUAGAUCCAAAGUCUAAGUCUCACCUAGGAGACCUCACCUUUACAUUUCCAUUUUCUUUAAGCUUUUCCAUUUGUAAUUUGUUUUUACUUUUGCGUUUAGGGAAUUCGCUUAGAGUCCGGCAUUAGAGUCCUAAAUUCUUUGUUUACUUUGUUUUUGCUUUGCUUUUGAGUCUUCUUUUGUGAUCCUAGAAGUAAUCUUGGAGUAACAACCACUAAGUAAGUAGCCUAGAACACUUUUGGCAAGGAAAAGGCUUGGUACUUAAGCAACCAUAACUGUGCAUCAUCAUGAGAAGAAAUUUGUACUUCAUCCUCUCUCAUCAUCACAAGUGGCGGAGGAUCAAGCACAAAUGCGCCUUAACAAGGAAUGAGAUGAAAAAGAAAAAGAAAGAAAGUUGAAAGAAGAAAAUCAAAGAAGACUAGAAUUAGAGAGAAGAAAAAGAGAGGAAGAGAUAGAAGAAGACAGAAGAAAAAGAGAGGAAGAAGAGAGAGAAGAAGAGAGAAGAAAAGAGGAAGAGAGAAUAAAAGAAAAAGAAAGAGAAGACAAAGAAGAAAUUGAAAGAAAAG